GAUGAACGCUGGCGGCGUGCCUAAUACAUGCAAGUCGAGCGAACAGACGAGGAGCUUGCUCCUCUGACGUUAGCGGCGGACGGGUGAGUAACACGUGGAUAACCUACCUAUAAGACUGGGAUAACUUCGGGAAACCGGAGCUAAUACCGGAUAAUAUAUUGAACCGCAUGGUUCAAUAGUGAAAGACGGUUUUGCUGUCACUUAUAGAUGGAUCCACGCCGCAUUAGCUAGUUGGUAAGGUAACGGCUUACCAAGGCAACGAUGCGUAGCCGACCUGAGAGGGUGAUCGGCCACACUGGAACUGAGACACGGUCCAGACUCCUACGGGAGGCAGAAGUAGGGAAUCUUCCGCAAUGGGCGAAAGCCGGACGGAGCAACGCCGCGUGAGUGAUGAAGGUCUUCGGAUCGUAAAACUCUGUUAUUAGGGAAGAACAAAUGUGUAAGUAACUAUGCACGUCUUGACGGUACCUAAUCAGAAAGCCACGGCUAACUACGUG
This 497-nucleotide ribosomal RNA is filed under the name uncultured bacterium. RNAcentral describes it as "partial 16S ribosomal RNA". It matches the Rfam family "Bacterial small subunit ribosomal RNA", at positions 28 to 507 of the family's 1533-position model. The record is from RNAcentral.